AUGGUAGCAUCACGGCUUUUACCGCAAUACAUGCCGUGCCAUGCCUUUGGGCAAUUUUUCCAUGUCCAAUGCAUGCAAUCAAGACUACCUAGCAUCCCUGGCCAUCCCCUUUUUUCAUUGAUUUCCAUCAGUCUCUUUGUAUCUUCCUCGUUUGGUGCUCGAAGAUACUUCUCACCAUACAACUUGAUAACCAACUUUGCAAACCUACGGAGGACUCUGUGGUUGUAUCUUGUCCAAUGCGAAGAUACUCGUCGGUAUAGUCCGCGGGUAUGCCAUAGGCGAGUACCCGCAUUGCCGCCGAUAUCUUUUGGUAUGCACUAA
RNAcentral lists this ribosomal RNA (321 nucleotides) under Triticum aestivum (bread wheat). RNAcentral describes it as "partial small subunit ribosomal RNA". The record is from RNAcentral. Lineage: Eukaryota; Viridiplantae; Streptophyta; Magnoliopsida; Poales; Poaceae.